UGCCGUUCAGAUAGGGAUACUCAUCAAAUAAUAUCUAACACCGCAGAUGUCUCUUCUGUCAAUGGCGGGCCACAUAAACGACUUUAGUCGCCAAGCUUUUAGCCGGUGGAUUACAAAGAAGAAGAACUCGCAAAUCUUUUUGAAUACGGAGUUUUCAUCACUUCAUAGGCACGACUCC
This 178-nucleotide small RNA is filed under the name uncultured Prevotella sp. RNAcentral describes it as "Bacteroidales-1 6S-Bacteroidales RNA suggested". It matches the Rfam family "Bacteroidales-1 6S-Bacteroidales RNA suggested". Lineage: Bacteria; Pseudomonadati; Bacteroidota; Bacteroidia; Bacteroidales; Prevotellaceae. The record is from RNAcentral.